Molecule: small nuclear RNA, 103 nt
Organism: Alexandromys fortis (reed vole)
Lineage: Eukaryota; Metazoa; Chordata; Mammalia; Rodentia; Cricetidae
Source: RefSeq, a predicted model, not a curated record
UUGCUUUAGCAGCACAUAUACUAAAACUAGAACAAUACAGAGAGGAUUAGCAUGGCUCCUAUGCAAGGAUGACACACAAAUUUGUGAAGCAUUCCAUAUUAAA